CUGACACGCGCGGGAGAGACCUUGCCGAUUCGGUUCACCGGAACGGACAAGGCGCCGAAGGAGCAACCGCCCCGGAAUCUCUCAGGCAAAAGGACCGCGCGGCGUCU
Molecule: non-coding RNA, 107 nt
Filed under: Novosphingobium sp. AP12
Lineage: Bacteria; Pseudomonadati; Pseudomonadota; Alphaproteobacteria; Sphingomonadales; Sphingomonadaceae
Also listed under: 1 other name
Description: Glycine riboswitch aptamer
Rfam family: Glycine riboswitch aptamer
About the family: This family represents the bacterial glycine riboswitch. Glycine riboswitches usually consist of two metabolite-binding aptamers domains with similar structures in tandem.
Source: Rfam by way of RNAcentral